UGUGAUGUCUGAGCAAAAUUAUUCUUAGUCCACAAUCCUGUCACCUUAGGUCGAUCGGUACCUCAGAUUGAUGAAUUAAUUUAUUAUUAAAAUCAUUGAUUUCAGUUCCUAAACUUGUCUAGGUCACACCCAACAAGGGUUUCUCCUGGGCCAUUAGCUCAGGUGGUUAGAGCGCACCCCCGAUAAGGGUGAGGUCCCUGGUUCAAGUCCAGGAUGGCCCAUUCGUUGUUGGGGGUAUAGCUCAGUUGGUAGAGCGCCUGCUUUGCAAGCAGGAUGUCAGCGGUUCGAGUCCGCUUACCUCCACUGAUCACUGCCCUGAUAACUAAAUUCAGGAGGAAUUUGAAUAUGUGACUUAGAAUUGUCUAUCUGAAAAGAGAACCUAGCUUCUUAUCAUCUUUAUUAAAUGUUGAUAUGAUGCUGGGCUCACUAGGAAUAUUUUCCAAGUGAUUUCAGUAGAACCUUGAAAACUGCAUAGGUGGAAAGAAUAAAGCAUCUCAUGGAUGCAUAAUUCGAAUUUAAAUUAAUAAGAUUAAACUAUUUUUUUUAUUUUAGAAUUCAUGUUUAAUUCUUGAAGUAAAAGCCGGAGCCACAAUUGA
Molecule: transfer RNA, 596 nt
Filed under: uncultured Prochlorococcus sp.
Lineage: Bacteria; Bacillati; Cyanobacteriota; Cyanophyceae; Synechococcales; Prochlorococcaceae
Description: partial 16S-23S ribosomal RNA intergenic spacer
Rfam family: tRNA (bases 231-303)
Source: RNAcentral